This 549-nucleotide ribosomal RNA is filed under the name Escherichia coli. RNAcentral describes it as "partial 23S ribosomal RNA". It matches the Rfam family "Bacterial large subunit ribosomal RNA", at positions 1217 to 1767 of the family's 2925-position model. The record is from RNAcentral. Lineage: Bacteria; Pseudomonadati; Pseudomonadota; Gammaproteobacteria; Enterobacterales; Enterobacteriaceae.
UGUGUUGUUGGGUAGGGGAGCGUUCUGUAAGCCUGUGAAGGUGUACUGUGAGGUAUGCUGGAGGUAUCAGAAGUGCGAAUGCUGACAUAAGUAACGAUAAAGCGGGUGAAAAGCCCGCUCGCCGGAAGACCAAGGGUUCCUGUCCAACGUUAAUCGGGGCAGGGUGAGUCGACCCCUAAGGCGAGGCCGAAAGGCGUAGUCGAUGGGAAACAGGUUAAUAUUCCUGUACUUGGUGUUACUGCGAAGGGGGGACGGAGAAGGCUAUGUUGGCCGGGCGACGGUUGUCCCGGUUUAAGCGUGUAGGCUGGUUUUCCAGGCAAAUCCGGAAAAUCAAGGCUGAGGCGUGAUGACGAGGCACUACGGUGCUGAAGCAACAAAUGCCCUGCUUCCAGGAAAAGCCUCUAAGCAUCAGGUAACAUCAAAUCGUACCCCAAACCGACACAGGUGGUCAGGUAGAGAAUACCAAGGCGCUUGAGAGAACUCGGGUGAAGGAACUAGGCAAAAUGGUGCCGUAACUUCGGGAGAAGGCACGCUGAUAUGUAGGUGAAG